GGGAGAGUUCCCGAGUGGCCAAAGGGGGCAGACUGUAAAUCUGUUGUCGUCGACUUCGGUGGUUCGAAUCCACCCUCCUCCACCA
This 85-nucleotide transfer RNA is filed under the name Candidatus Acutalibacter ornithocaccae. Its description in RNAcentral is "tRNA-Tyr". It matches the Rfam family "tRNA". Rfam says of the family: Transfer RNA (tRNA) molecules are approximately 80 nucleotides in length. Their secondary structure includes four short double-helical elements and three loops (D, anti-codon, and T loops). The record is from RNAcentral. Lineage: Bacteria; Bacillati; Bacillota; Clostridia; Eubacteriales; Acutalibacteraceae.